Long non-coding RNA from Carcharodon carcharias (great white shark), 5070 nucleotides. RefSeq lists it as uncharacterized. Lineage: Eukaryota; Metazoa; Chordata; Chondrichthyes; Lamniformes; Lamnidae. The transcript has 5 exons. The record is from RefSeq and is a predicted model, not a curated record.
CACAUGCUAUCUAAGCAUUAGCGACCAUUCACAAUAUCCAGUUAUAUUGGCAUUGCUCAUUAGUACUUGCUCUGAAGGUAUGCUAGGCAAACAUUGGGCUUCCCACAAAUUCAGAUGGUAAUCUUUGCCUAUUUUUAUCAGAGUUAAAGACUGAAGAAAUUUGGUAAGUAUUCUAGAUGUUACAGGCAACACCUGGUGACAGCAAUUCCCCCUCCACUUUUUCUCAAGAAGGCAAUGGCUCAGGUCAGUGAAGCUCUUCCGGUGUCUGGCUCAAGUGACCAUAUUUCAUUUACAGACCCAAACUACCAUAAGGUCAAAUCUUAUUUUUCUUUCACACGACACCCAAACUUUCCAUCAAGGAUUAGUUUGUCGGGAUCUAAAGAAAGAACAACACUGAUUGUUUUUCUCUGUAUCCCAAGAAAGUUGAGAUUAACUGCAGUGUCACCAUUGUCAUUCUGGCCGAGCUCAGCUAACAGAAAUGACCCCAUGGAUCAAACACCAAGACUUUCCUGAUCAAUAUAGUUCUGCAUAAAAACCACUGAGCUAUCAGCCUGAAGGACAGUUUUAACACCAUCUUGUUUGUGAUGUUGAGUAGUAUUUUACAAGGAAUUGGGGAUUAAGUAACCACCCCACCCCGACCAUUGCGGUAAUGCGAUGUUCUAGACACAAUUGCAAUCACAUCUUCAAUCUCCAUUUUUUUUACAUUUAUUUAAUGAGGUUGCAAAGUAAGAUCUUUGACAUGGUGCUGUCUUCUAUUUAAGAAUUCAAGACAUCACCCAUUAGCUACUCACCACAGUGAAUUUGGUCUGCUGGUGGCCAUUUUUACCAUUGGCAAGUCUUCCUUUCACUGGCCCUUUAUUCAGUUCUCAAAUUUACCAAAGCACAUUUCCAAAGUUCGAGAGAUGGACACUUCCCAUGUGAAUUAUGUCCCAGAAGCUUGGGUACCUUUUCCCAAUGUUUAGCCAAUUAUCCUAUGGGUAUAUAUGAUUAGCUUAUUCCUCUUCAAAAACAUAUAACACCCAGGUUUACAAUGUCUUGAAAUCUGUAAGGUUCAUGUCACGUGGUUUGAGAUAAAUUUUGCACUUUGUGCUGCUCAUCAACUACACUGGGCCCAAUAACUUAUUUCCUAAAUUCAGACUAUUGUUCAGCAUUACUUGUCACACUGUACAUAAGGAUUUGUCCUGUUCCCACAGCCAAUCUCACAUGCUGGAGAUAUUCAUUUUGUACUCAGUGUUGUUAUUCUCCUCGGCACUGUCCAUUAUUUUCACAGUAAAGGAAUGGGAUGUAAAUAGCUAGAACCACGUGCUAGCCUCAUGUAGGUGUCUACAUGCUCUGCUGAGAGCGUGUGAAGCAUCAGACCGCCUGCAGCAGAAUAAGCCGACAUAUGCAAUAGGAAAAAUAUCCUUUAAGUCAUAUGUACAUCCUGAUCGUGCAAAUUACAAAAAAAAUUAUAGCGAAUACCUCUCCCUCAUGAGCAAACAUGUGACAAUGGAGAAGGACAAUGCCAUCGAAUAGAAUGCAUCCAAAGUAAAGGGGGAAUCAAAGCUCAAGACCUUUUGCCUAUUGUUCUUUCCCUUAGCUUAUUCCAAUUCAGAGGUGAACACUCCUAGGAUAUCAAGCCAAGAUCAUUUCCUAACUUCAGCUGUUUCAUGGGAGCAGGUGAAUCCUUUAUCUUGAAACUAUGAACACAUCAUCCUCCACAGGAAGCGUCAGACACUUGGAACAGCGUGAUGAGGAUGAUGCAGCACUCAAUACAUUUGUCUAGCAACUGUCAGUAUAAGUACUGCUCACCAUCUGGCUGCUCUGGAUAUUCUGAGCACUGCUGGAGUCACACACAAACCGACCGAAUAAUUCACAUCAUCACAGCAGCAUUUGAUGUGAGUGAAAACCCAAACGUUUGGUCCCCACAGAUGAUGUUGCUCAAGGAAGGAAUGUUGGCUUGAGCACCAGAACAUCUUUCUUUCUCUUCUCAAAUAGUGUCAUGGGAUCAUCCGCAGCCACUUGAACCAAGCAGCAGAUGACACCUUGUUUUAACAUCCCAUCAAAAAGCCAUGUAUUUGUCGUACCAGAAGAUGCAAGCAAGAAAUCUGCCAAGUCAGAAACCAGAACUCACCAAGACUUUCAGAAAUUUUUCACUCAUUAUUGCCUUGCUCAAUGCAUCUAUUGUUAUAUAUUUUAUCUUUUAGCAUGUUUGACAAAUUUUUAACCUUCACAUUGCUAUUUAAAUGUAAACAUACUUGCUUUGGUCUGCAAAUCUGUGGUCUAUUUGGAAUUAUCAACCACCCUGAAGAAUUUGGUAGUAGCAGACUAUUUCAAAUUCAUUGAGUGUAGAAACUGGCAUACUCUAUGGGCCACACAAGUAAAGUUGGGGCUGCAUCUGCCCUGAACUCAUCCUCCUGAGAGGACCUUUCGUAACCUUCUUCCUGCACAUUACCUGCUUGCCGGUAAGGCGUCCUCCGGUGCCAACUGGCGGCUUCUGGCUGUUCAAACUUCCUCUCCUGCUUGCCGGCCUGCUGCUAAUUUCCGCCUGUUCUUGGGUGGGCAACUGACCAGCUGCAUGUAGAUGAGGCAUAGGGAGUUAAAAUACCCUGGUCCUCAAAUUUAGGCCAGCUAAUGUAUUUACACUUGUCGUGCCACCCGCCAACUGGGGUUGAAAAAAGAGCAAGAUAUGAAACCUUUCAUCCCAACUAGAAGAUCACAUAUUUCAUUGCAAUGGAUAGAAUAGUUAGAAGAAUCAAAGCAGCAACGCACAAUUCUACUUGGCUGACCUAUUACGUUAAACAGGGCAGAACCGGUCUUAGAGUGUAAUUUGUUGCAGGGUAUCCCUCAAGAGAUGGGUACCAAACAGCAGUCAAAAAAGUGCAGAGGAGAGGGAUGCACAUGUCUUGAAAUGAAAAACAUAGGAACAGGAGGUCAGCCAUUUGGAUCAAGGCAGAUCCGUACCUUAACUUCAUUUAUCGGCCUUGGUUCUGCAACAAAAUCUAUCAACCUCAGUUCUGAAAUUUUCAACUGACCCCAGCCUCAACAGCUUUUUGAGGGAGUGUUAGAAAUUUCAAUUGCCCUCUGAAACACUGCUUCUUAACAUCACCCUGAACAAUCCAGCUCUAACUUCAAGGCUAUGCCCCCUUAUUCUGGACUCUUGCCAGAGAAAAUAGUUCCUCUCCAUCUAAGCCAUCAAAUCCUUUCAUCAGCUGAAACACUUCAAUUAGAUCAACUCUUAAUUUUAUACACUCAAGGGAAUACAAGUUUAUGCAACUUGCCCUCAUAAUAUAACCCUCUUAGGAAAUCAUCAAGAUCAGUUGAAAAGACAAUCGUAGAUAGGUCGUUAGUAAUGGCAGAGUUGUUUCAAGUUAAGCAAGAUAGCCAAAAGAAAUUGGUAUUAGUAUCAACUUGAUGAGUGCGAGAGAAGGACAACUGGCACUAUUGAACCAUGGAUUUGAGAGAGUGGGAUUUGAAUGAGGGGCAAACUGGGUUUGGUAACUUUGAUUUGCUUGAACUGAGUUAAAUAAGAAUGAUAGAAAGAGCAAAUACAUGCAGUGAGGCGAGGGAUUUAAGAAAAAAGGUUGGGUAAUUGGUAACCAGGAUGUGAGAAUGAUGCGCACAACCUUUGGAUUGGAAGUUCAAGUGCAAAGUUUAGGAUGGAAAUCUUGGACGAGAGAGAGAAAUGAAAAAAAUCAGUAGGUAAGUUUGAGGACAAGAACGGAAAUGAACAGACUUUAGAUUCAAGCAGUGGUACAAAUAUAUUGUAUAAGUGGCUGUCGCUUGAUCAGUUCACUCAGCAUUAGUAAAUAUGUUUUCUGCAUUAACUUGGAAUCCUGUUUCUCUUUAGUUUACACUUAUAAACUAGUUAGAAGAAUGGGCAACACUUUCAACUUUGGCUGGAAGAUAAAAUGGCCACUAUUGGACUGGCCACUCAUUAUAUACACUAAUAGGAAGAUCAACGCAAGGAAUACAAUGGAUGGUUAAUCCAAUAUUUUAUGUUUGACCUCCCCACUGAAGUUGAAAGUUCCAAAAAGCAAUCCAUUUCAUAGCCCAAAAUACCCAAGUAAAUUCUCUCCUAACUUUGGCAGAGACCUUUGUUAAAUAGGAUCUUCGAUUCCCAAAACAAAUGUAUAUUCAGCCCAAUUCAGCUUCCUUAAACUUGGCUCCCAACUUUGAUUUCCAAAUACACAUAAGCAAACUUCAGUAGCUUGGACUAGUCGUGUUGGCCACACAUUUAUAAAACCACCCAGAUUUAGUAUCAUGCUGCUAUGUGGAGUAAUUGCAUCGUUCUGCACUGAAUGCCGGGUACAUUCAGGACAGAAUAGAAGUAUCAUGCUAUUAUAAUUUGUUUCUUUGUUUGGACAGUGAGACUAGCAAUUACAAGACACUGGAUCUUAAUUAACUUGAGAAUCACAAUGUGGAGUAACGGUAACUAGGCAAUGAAUUCCACAGGCAACUAUAAACCAAAUUUUAUAAAAAGCUCAAUUGCCAAUUAUUAUCUCAAACUUAAGCUGGGAUGGUAUUCUCAAUUUGAGUCUGAACAUUAAAAUCCACCAAGAUAAUGCAAAAGGACACCAUGUUCAACAUUUAAGAGACAUUUCUUCACAUCCAGAUUUGCCAAACAUUGGAACAAUUCCCUGAAAAUCUGCAAAUUUGUGUUGCUACAUAGAAAUGGCAUGACAAAUAUUCAUUCUCAAUCAAGAGUCCCCAACCAUGCAUUACCAAUAUGCUAAUUUUAACAUUUCCCCUUCUAAAUUAAGUUAGCAGACAGUUUUAAAGACUGGCUAUGAAAAAACUGGUUUAAUAAAAUGGAGCUUUAAAAUUGUUGGCUUGGUAAGCUGUUUAGAUCAAAUUAAAGCAUAUUAGUUAAUUAACAUUGCUUUUAGUCAUUUAAACCAUCAACCUGUUCAACCCGAUUUAGCCCAUGUAAUUUCAAGGAAGCUCCUAUUCUUCAAACAAAAUCCAUCAGAGAAAUGCAACUGUGUUAAUGUUGAUAGUGCAAUGGGAUUGGAGUUGUCCGAUUGUCUGUAAUGACCAUAUCAAAAUGAUUGUAAUAUUCAUUGAUUGUAUUGAAGCACCUCGUGAUCC